Molecule: transfer RNA, 81 nt
Filed under: Schleiferiaceae bacterium
Lineage: Bacteria; Pseudomonadati; Bacteroidota; Flavobacteriia; Flavobacteriales; Schleiferiaceae
Description: tRNA-Ile
Rfam family: tRNA (bases 13-81)
About the family: Transfer RNA (tRNA) molecules are approximately 80 nucleotides in length. Their secondary structure includes four short double-helical elements and three loops (D, anti-codon, and T loops). Further hydrogen bonds mediate the characteristic L-shaped molecular structure. tRNAs have two regions of fundamental functional importance: the anti-codon, which is responsible for specific mRNA codon recognition, and the 3' end, to which the tRNAs corresponding amino acid is attached (by aminoacyl-tRNA synthetases). tRNAs cope with the degeneracy of the genetic code in two manners: having more than one tRNA (with a specific anti-codon) for a particular amino acid; and 'wobble' base-pairing, i.e. permitting non-standard base-pairing at the 3rd anti-codon position.
Source: RNAcentral
GCCUGUGUAAGCAGGCAUUUGGGCUGCAAGCCCAGGGGACUCAUAAUCCCUUGGUCGCAGGUUCAAAUCCUGCUGGGCCCA